ACAAAGAAGGACGACAGGCACGAACGGUAGACAUCCCACCCUUGUGUAUUAUUACUUUGCAGAUACCCCGAGCUGCCUUCGGGCCUUAUAUGCUCGCCAGAGAAUACCAAAACUCUUUUUAUCAAUGUCGUCAGAGCACUAUAUAAGAGUAAAAACUUUCAACAACGGAUCUCUUGGUUCUGGAAUCGAUGAAAAACGCAGCGAAAUGCGAUAAGUAAUGUGAAUUGCAGAAUUCAGUGAAUCAUCGAAUCUUUGAACGCACAUUGCGCCCCUUGGUAUUCCGGGGGGCAUGCCUGUUCGAGCGUCAUUUCAACCCUCAAGCUUAGCUUGGUAUUGAGUCUAUGUCAGUAAUGGCAGGCUCUAAAAUCAGUGGCGGCGCCGCUGGGUCCUGAACGUAGUAAUAUCUCUCGUUACAGGUUCUCGGUGUGCUUCUGCCAAAACCCAAAUUUUUCUAUGGUUGACCUCGGAUCAGGUAGGGAUACCCGCUGAACUUAAGCAUAUCAAAAGGGGGAAGGAAGG
This 519-nucleotide ribosomal RNA is filed under the name Botrytis cinerea. RNAcentral describes it as "eukaryotic LSU rRNA". The stretch from base 154 to 307 matches the Rfam family "5.8S ribosomal RNA". The record is from RNAcentral. Lineage: Eukaryota; Fungi; Ascomycota; Leotiomycetes; Helotiales; Sclerotiniaceae.